Molecule: RNase P RNA, 243 nt
Filed under: Marinobacter nauticus
Lineage: Bacteria; Pseudomonadati; Pseudomonadota; Gammaproteobacteria; Pseudomonadales; Marinobacteraceae
Description: partial RNase P RNA component class A
Rfam family: Bacterial RNase P class A
About the family: Ribonuclease P (RNase P) is a ubiquitous endoribonuclease, found in archaea, bacteria and eukarya as well as chloroplasts and mitochondria. Its best characterised activity is the generation of mature 5'-ends of tRNAs by cleaving the 5'-leader elements of precursor-tRNAs.
Source: RNAcentral
CGAGCUCGCCAGACAGUCGCCGCCGGUUGAUCCGGGGGAGGAAAGUCCGGGCUCCGCAGGGCAAGGUGCCAGGUAACGCCUGGGCGGCGUGAGCCGACGGAAAGUGCAACAGAAAGUAUACCGCCUAAGCGCUUUCGGGCGCCGGUAAGGUUGAAAUGGUGCGGUAAGAGCGCACCAGGCUUCUGGUGACAGAAGUCGUUAGUGUAAACCCCACCGGGAGCAAGACCAAAUAGGCAUAGAUUU